AGUGAACGCUGGCGGUAGGCCUAACACAUGCAAGUCGAACGGCAGCACAGUAAGAGCUUGCUCUUACGGGUGGCGAGUGGCGGACGGGUGAGGAAUACAUCGGAAUCUACUUUUUCGUGGGGGAUAAUGUAGGGAAACUUACGCUAAUACCGCAUACGACCUACGGGUGAAAGCAGGGGAUCUUCGGACCUUGCGCGAUUGAAUGAGCCGAUGUCGGAUUAGCUAGUUGGCGGGGUAAAGGCCCACCAAGGCGACGAUCCGUAGCUGGUCUGAGAGGAUGAUCAGCCACACUGGAACUGAGACACGGUCCAGACUCCUACGGGAGGCGGCAGUGGGGAAUAUUGGACAAUGGGCGCAAGCCUGAUCCAGCCAUACCGCGUGGGUGAAGAAGGCCUUCGGGUUGUAAAGCCCUUUUGUUGGGAAAGAAAAGCAGCAGGUUAAUACCCCGCUGUCCUGACGGUACCCAAAGAAUAAGCACCGGCUAACUUCGUG
This 492-nucleotide ribosomal RNA is filed under the name uncultured bacterium. RNAcentral describes it as "partial 16S ribosomal RNA". It matches the Rfam family "Bacterial small subunit ribosomal RNA", at positions 29 to 507 of the family's 1533-position model. The record is from RNAcentral.